UCCUACGGGAGGCAGCAGUGGGGAAUAUUGGACAAUGGGGGCAACCCUGAUCCAGCAAUGCCGCGUGUGUGAAGAAGGCCUGAGGGUUGUAAAGCACUAUCAGUGGGGAGGAGGCUUUAUUGGUUAAGAGCUGAUGAAGUGGACGUUACCCACAGAAGAAGCACCGGCUAACUCCGUGCCAGCAGCCGCGGUA
Molecule: ribosomal RNA, 193 nt
Filed under: uncultured Legionella sp.
Lineage: Bacteria; Pseudomonadati; Pseudomonadota; Gammaproteobacteria; Legionellales; Legionellaceae
Description: partial 16S ribosomal RNA
Rfam family: Bacterial small subunit ribosomal RNA
Source: RNAcentral